GAAUAGAUACCCAGGUAGUCCACGCUAUAAACGUUGGGCGCUAGGUGUGGGCGACUUCUACGUUGUCCGUGCCGUAGCUAAUGCAUUAAGCGCCCCGCCUGGGGAGUACGGCCGCAAGGCUAAAACUCAAAGGAAUUGACGGGGGCCCGCACAAGCGGCGGAGCAUGUGGAUUAAUUCGAUGCAACGCGAAGAACCUUACCUGGGCUUGACAUGCACUGGAAACCGGCAGAGAUGUCGGCCCCCUUGUGGCCGGUGUGCAGGUGGUGCAUGGCUGUCGUCAGCUCGUGUCGUGAAAUGUUGGGUUAAGUCCCGCAACGAGCGCAACCCUUGUCCUGUGUUGCCAGCGCGUAAUGGCGGGGACUCGCGGGAGACUGCCGGGGUCAACUCGGAGGAAGGUGGGGAUGACGUCAGGUCAUCAUGCCCCUUAUGUCCAGGGCUUCACACAUGCUACAAUGGCUGGUACAGAGGGCUGCGAUACCGUGAGGUGGAGCGAAUCCCUUAAAGCCGGUCUCAGUUCGGAUCG
This 524-nucleotide ribosomal RNA is filed under the name uncultured bacterium. Its description in RNAcentral is "bacterial SSU rRNA". It matches the Rfam family "Bacterial small subunit ribosomal RNA", at positions 776 to 1300 of the family's 1533-position model. The record is from RNAcentral.